This 66-nucleotide transfer RNA is filed under the name Scolichthys greenwayi. Its description in RNAcentral is "tRNA-Tyr". It matches the Rfam family "tRNA". Rfam says of the family: Transfer RNA (tRNA) molecules are approximately 80 nucleotides in length. Lineage: Eukaryota; Metazoa; Chordata; Actinopteri; Cyprinodontiformes; Poeciliidae. The record is from RNAcentral.
UAAGAUGGCUGAGUGUAAAGCGGUGGAUUGUAGACCCAUGGACGAAGGCUCAACCCCUUCUCUUGC